CGUGACAUAGCUCAGCUGGUAGAGCAGGUGCUUCAUACGCAUCAGGUCAGUGGUUCGAUCCCACUUGUCACGA
This 73-nucleotide transfer RNA is filed under the name Aeromonas phage Ahp1_CNU-2021. It matches the Rfam family "tRNA". Rfam says of the family: Transfer RNA (tRNA) molecules are approximately 80 nucleotides in length. Their secondary structure includes four short double-helical elements and three loops (D, anti-codon, and T loops). The record is from Rfam by way of RNAcentral. Lineage: Duplodnaviria; Heunggongvirae; Uroviricota; Caudoviricetes; Pantevenvirales; Straboviridae.